AAUAGAUUUUCUUAACAGGAAUCACUCAAUUCUGAGGAAAAAAGUGUGGAAUCACUCAAAUUGGAGGUAGAAAAUAAGGACACACCCAGUCUACUUCCUUUCCCUAAAUGGACAUCUGCCCCAGAUUAGAUGUGUCUGUUAGUCUGGAGUUAAAAACACCUGCAGUCAUGACACCUUGGAGGGCUGCUGGACAAAGUGGAGUGGCAAGAACCAUGGCUCCAACAAGAUAAAUGUCCCUUUAAACAAAAGAGAGGAUGGUGAAACCUCUUGAAGAAGGUAACCCUUCACACAUGGUUGCUAAAGAUGUGGGCUGUUCACAGUCAGCUGUAUCCAAGAUAUGGUCCUAAUACAAACAGCAUGGAAUGGUUGUUAAAGCCAAGCGUACUGGUAGACCAAGAAAGACAUCAAAGCGUCAAGACAAACAACUUAAGGCCAUUUGUCUUGAAAACUGAAAAAUUACAACUAAACAAAUGAAGC
Long non-coding RNA from Poecilia latipinna (sailfin molly), 477 nucleotides. RefSeq lists it as uncharacterized. NCBI's taxonomy places the organism in Eukaryota, Metazoa, Chordata, Actinopteri, Cyprinodontiformes, Poeciliidae. The transcript has 3 exons. The record is from RefSeq and is a predicted model, not a curated record.